CACACAAUCACACACACACACAGCUACACACUCACACGAUGACUGAUGCCUUCUCCCUCCUCUUCGUGCGUUCUCUGUUUUCUCAGCUCUCUGUGGCACCUCUGAGACUUUUGGCUUUUUGUCCUCUGGUUAUAACCGUGCGGUGGAAGCCGUUCUGCACAGCUCCAGCACCAUGCUGUCCCAGCUACAAACUGAGAAGCAGCCGCAGCAGGAGCGGAUCAGCCUGCCUCUCACUUUACUGCCUCUGACUUUGUCGGCCGCCUUUCCGUCCUGCACUUUUUCCUCCUCAUGGUUGGUGUUAAUUUCCUUUGUCUGUAAGGCAUGUUUCCCCUUACGUCCACAACGGGAUAAAGAAAAGAUGGGGUUUUUUUGUUUGUUUUUUAAUGGUUUGUGUGAAAGACAAGGCGAGACAACAGUGGAUAAAAUGUGAUGCGGCUGGAGUGACAUAGAGAUGCAGGGCUGCAAGUCAAGAGGCAAAGCACUAAGUCGAGAGUAAGGAUGAGGGGACUGAGAGGAAGAUUCAAGUUGGAAAAUAUACGUGGGAAAAGUUACUUUUCGGUUCAAGUCUAAAGGAAGAUCCAGAACGUCGACAUGACAGCGAUCUCAAGGU
This is a long non-coding RNA of Haplochromis burtoni (Burton's mouthbrooder), 610 nucleotides long. RefSeq lists it as uncharacterized. NCBI's taxonomy places the organism in Eukaryota, Metazoa, Chordata, Actinopteri, Cichliformes, Cichlidae. The transcript is spliced from 2 exons. The record is from RefSeq and is a predicted model, not a curated record.